Molecule: ribosomal RNA, 159 nt
Filed under: Glycine soja
Lineage: Eukaryota; Viridiplantae; Streptophyta; Magnoliopsida; Fabales; Fabaceae
Description: 5.8S ribosomal RNA
Rfam family: 5.8S ribosomal RNA
About the family: 5.8S ribosomal RNA (5.8S rRNA) is a component of the large subunit of the eukaryotic ribosome. It is transcribed by RNA polymerase I as part of the 45S precursor that also contains 18S and 28S rRNA. Functionally, it is thought that 5.8S rRNA may be involved in ribosome translocation.
Source: Rfam by way of RNAcentral
GACUCUCGACGAUGUAUAUUUCGAUUCUUACAUUGAUAAAAAAAAAUGUAGCAAAAUGUAAUAUUUGAUGUGAAUUACAGAAUCACCUAAAUCAUAAGUCUUUGAAUCUAAGUUGCAUCCAAAAUCAUUAAUUAGACUGAGGAUAUGUUACAAAAGUCA